Molecule: transfer RNA, 72 nt
Filed under: Fomitopsis schrenkii
Lineage: Eukaryota; Fungi; Basidiomycota; Agaricomycetes; Polyporales; Fomitopsidaceae
Description: tRNA-Glu (CTC) (tRNA-Glu-CTC-3-1)
Rfam family: tRNA
About the family: Transfer RNA (tRNA) molecules are approximately 80 nucleotides in length.
Source: RNAcentral
UCCGAUAUGGUGUAGUGGCUAACAUUAUCGCCUCUCACGCGAUAGCCCGGGGUUCAAUUCCCCGUGUCAGAA